UCAUAGCAGUCUGCAAAUUUGACACCACUUGUUCACUGGAAACAUUCAAUUUGGAUGCAACAAUAGAAUCAUUUUUACACAUCUGCGCAAUAUCAUCAUUCAUUGUUGAGCUAGCUUCUGCAGCUGGAACCAUUUGAGCAGAAACAAUUACAUCAGGAGUCACAAGCAUCCCUCUCAUAUUUGACACCACUUGUUCACUGGGAACAUUCAGUUUGGAUGCAACUGUGGAAGUGCUUUUACACAGCUGUGCAAUAUUAUCAUUCAGUGUUGAGCUAGCUUCAGCAGCUGGAACUAUUUGGCCAGAAAUAAGUACAUCAGCAGUCCCAUUAGGAGGAAUCCCUGGCAUGUUUGACACCAACUGUUUACUGGA
RNAcentral lists this long non-coding RNA (370 nucleotides) under Nicotiana benthamiana. RNAcentral describes it as "long non-coding RNA (NBEN_LNC002045)". Lineage: Eukaryota; Viridiplantae; Streptophyta; Magnoliopsida; Solanales; Solanaceae. The record is from RNAcentral.